RNAcentral lists this non-coding RNA (28 nucleotides) under Rattus norvegicus (Norway rat). Lineage: Eukaryota; Metazoa; Chordata; Mammalia; Rodentia; Muridae. The record is from RNAcentral.
UAUUUGUGGGGUGCUCUAGUACAGAUGA